GAGAGAGAGAGAGAGAGAGAAUCAGGAAAGGCUUGUAAGCUUUAAAGUUUCUGGGGCUAAAGUGACUGAAUUUGAAACAGGCUUAAUUUUGAGAGGUAAGAAACAGAGAAAAAGGGAAGAUAGAAGAGUGUAAUUUGGCGGAGACUAAAAUGUAGUAGCUGGAAAACGAACGAACACAGAUCAAGGCCAAAUGGGUAUUGUACAAUUAAAGCGGAUAAUACUAAAUUUUGGAGAAUCUAAAGCAGAGGCGAUGAUCUCUACUCCAAAUUCUAUGUUUUCUUUAUGGCUACUGUUUAAAAACAAUAGGAAAAAAAUAAAAAGAGAGGUAAAGUUUGCAGAGCAGAAUGAUAAAAGUUCUUGUUUCUGUGGAAAUGACUAUGGAUCUUGAGAGAGAGAGAG
This 399-nucleotide unclassified non-coding RNA is filed under the name Hevea brasiliensis (rubber tree). Lineage: Eukaryota; Viridiplantae; Streptophyta; Magnoliopsida; Malpighiales; Euphorbiaceae. The record is from RNAcentral.